ACCUGAUGAAGUGGACAUUUACGGAGCAAGUCCCUAAGACACUCCUAGGUCUCAAAGAAAAGUUCCCCAUCCGUCUGUGAGAAGCUUGUGAUGGCUCUCUGAAGCU
Small nucleolar RNA from Malania oleifera, 106 nucleotides. The record is from RefSeq and is a predicted model, not a curated record. NCBI's taxonomy places the organism in Eukaryota, Viridiplantae, Streptophyta, Magnoliopsida, Santalales, Ximeniaceae.